UACGUAGGGACCAAGCGUUGUUCGGAUUUACUGGGCGUAAAGGGCUCGUAGGCGGCUUGUCACGUCGGGUGUGAAAGCCCGGGGCUUAACCCCGGGUCUGCAUUCGAUACGGGCUAGCUAGAGUGUGGUAGGGGAGAUCGGAAUUCCUGGUGUAGCGGUGAAAUGCGCAGAUAUCAGGAGGAACACCGGUGGCGAAGGCGGACCUCUGGGCCAUUACUGACGCUGAGGAGCGAAAGCGUGGGGAGCGAACAGG
This 253-nucleotide ribosomal RNA is filed under the name uncultured bacterium. Its description in RNAcentral is "partial 16S ribosomal RNA". It matches the Rfam family "Bacterial small subunit ribosomal RNA", at positions 524 to 776 of the family's 1533-position model. The record is from RNAcentral.